This 155-nucleotide unclassified non-coding RNA is filed under the name uncultured Phialophora. Its description in RNAcentral is "sequence contains ITS1". Lineage: Eukaryota; Fungi; Ascomycota; Leotiomycetes. The record is from RNAcentral.
CAGAGUUCAUGCCCUCACGGGUAGAUCUCCCACCCUUGAAAUUCGUACCUUUGUUGCUUUGGCGGGCCGCAUCGCUACCGGCCCCGGCUGGUAUGUGCCCGCCAGAGGACCCCAACUCUUGUUUUUAGUGAUGUCUGAGUACUAUAUAAUAGUUA